CACGUAGGCGGUCCACUAAGUUGGAUGUGAAAGCCCCGGGCUCAACCCGGGAAGUGCAUACAAAAACUGGUGGACUUGAAUAUGGAAGAGGGUCGCGGAAUUCCCGGUGUAGAGGUGAAAUUCGUAGAUAUCGGGAGGAACACCAGUGGCGAAGGCGGCGACCUGGGCCAAUAUUGACGCUGAGGUGCGAAAGCGUGGGGAGCAAACA
RNAcentral lists this ribosomal RNA (208 nucleotides) under uncultured bacterium. RNAcentral's name for it is "partial 16S ribosomal RNA". It matches the Rfam family "Bacterial small subunit ribosomal RNA", at positions 568 to 774 of the family's 1533-position model. The record is from RNAcentral.